AGCCCCAUGAUCUAGCGGCCAAGGAUAGCGGGCUUUGGACCCGUUCACGUCGGUUCGAAUCCGACUGGGGCUA
This 73-nucleotide transfer RNA is filed under the name Microcaldota archaeon. Its description in RNAcentral is "tRNA-Gln". It matches the Rfam family "tRNA". From Rfam's summary of the family: Transfer RNA (tRNA) molecules are approximately 80 nucleotides in length. The record is from RNAcentral. Lineage: Archaea; Nanobdellati; Microcaldota. RNAcentral also lists the same sequence under 1 other name.